This 3189-nucleotide long non-coding RNA is filed under the name Sus scrofa (pig). Its description in RNAcentral is "lncRNA (ENSSSCG00065016028.1)". The record is from RNAcentral. Lineage: Eukaryota; Metazoa; Chordata; Mammalia; Artiodactyla; Suidae.
UUUGGUUUCUGAAAUUCUUUAAGUGUUUCUUAAUUUUGUAUUGUACAGGGGAAGAUGUGUUUACUCCAGUUCCUUUUGAAAUCUGUUGCAGUUUUGCCAUGAAUUAUGAUUGGAACAGAUUGAAAAAUGUCUUUGUUUCAAUUUUCCUAAAAUAAAUUAUUCAAAGCAGCUCAUUAUCUAUAAUUCUAUCCUGAGUUAAAAUAAAAAUAUUCUUUCUAGGUCAAUCUUCAUUGAGCUAUUAAUAUCCUUUUCAUAUUAUAAGAUUUCUUAAUUUCCUUUAUUAGCAACUGCAAGCAGCUGAAUGUCAUUGCUUUGAGUAUUAAUUGAUAUUUGAGUUCUCUUCAGUGGUUUUGCUCUUACUUAUGUCAGCAACCUUCAGUCUAGUACACAUAGAACCCAGAUCGUUCUCAUACGGGACGCAGGGGGAUCCAAAGCAUUGGAUCCAUUGAACCGUAUUUAUGCUUUAAUUUUACUUCUGGUGAUAGAUGUGCCUCUUCUAUAAUUUGCAUGGCAGCAAAAUUCAGAAUUGUCGCAGAGACAUACAAUUAUUGGUUCAUUUGGGAAAGCUGGAACUUUAUUAUCUUACUGUAUGUUCAAGAACAUAAAAACUUGAGCAUAAAUAAAUGAGAAGUCAACUUACAAAAUUCAGCACAGCAUCUGAAUAUUUGGUUCAUUAUAUUAAACGAUAUGUGAUUUGUUCAAAAAGAAUAUAUAAAAAUCUAUUUAUUAUUGAAGUAUAGAUAGUUUACAGGGGAAAUUGUAUUGGUUUCAAGUGUACAGCAAAGGGAUUCAGUUAUACAUAUAUUUUUUUGAAUUCUUUUCCAUUAUAGGUUAUGACAAGAUAUUGAAUAUAAUUCCCUGUGUUAUACAGUAGGUCCUUGUUGGUUAUUUUAUAUAUAAUAGUAUUUAUUUUUUAAUCUCAAUAUCCUAAUUUAUUACUCUACCCACCUCCCCUUUGAUAAGCUUGUUUUCUAUAUCUGUGAGUCUGUUUCUGCUUUGUAUCAUUUUUUAAAAGAUUCCACAUAUAAGUGAUAUCAUAUGAUAUUAGUCUUUGUCUGACUUACUUCACUUAAUAUGAUAAUCUCUAGGUCCAUCCAUAUUGCUGCAAAUGGCAUUAUUUCAUUCAUUUUUAUGGUUAGAGAACUUGUAAGUUUUAGUUACAUCACACAUGCAGAGACUCCUAAAGAACAUUCUUGUAUGUAUUUUAGAGUUCUUAUAUAAAAAUGCUUCACCAGGAGUUCCUGUUGUGGCACAGUGGAUAAUGAAUCUGACUAGGAACCAUGAGGUUGCAGGUUUGAUCCCUGGCCUUGCUUAAUGGGUUAAGGAUCCGGCGUUGCCAUGAGCUGUGGUGUAUGUCGCAGAUGCAGCUCGGAUCCCGUGUUGCUGUGGCUCUGGCGUAGGCUGGAGGCUGCAGUUCCGAUUUGAUCCCUAGUCUGGGAACCUCUAUAUGCCGGGGGAAGCAGCCCUAGAAAAGGCAAAAAGACAAAAAAAAAAAAAAAAUGCUUCACCAAAGUGUGUGGAAAUUUAUUUUAUUACCUGUACUACCAUAAAUCUAAGCCAAUAAUCAACAUUAUGAGCUUUUUCUUGUUUGCAAAUCCAAAAAUUCAAAAAUAAAUCUCUCCCUUUUUGAAUUCCUUCCUUCACCUGCUGAAGCCUCUCCACCUGUCCUUUAGAUUACACACCAUGUUUCCUGCUGGGACUCAAAGACUCCAGUUGUCUCAAAACUUGGUGAUAGGGAGUUCUCUGGUAGUGUAGUGCCUAGGACUCAGCACUUUCACCACUGUGGCCCAGGUUCAGUCCCUGGUCUGGGAACUGAUAUCGUCUGGCCAAAGUCCAAGAAGACCAAAACAUAACACCCCCAAACCAAAAAACACUUGAUGGCAAUAAAAAGUGUAUUCACUACUUCACCCAAGGGUGUAUUGGGCCUGGUAUUGCACUGAAGGCUGAAGCUACUACAGUUGUGAACAAAAGUGGUAUCUUCCAUAUUUGCCUCUAUGGAACUUCCACAGUUGCCUCUAUGGAACUUAUAGGUCAGGGACAGAGAUGUUACUGAGAUAAUUGUUGGAAUGCAGGUGCAUUUCCCAACUGAGAAGAGGCCUGUGGGUAUAGAAGGAUCUGUUUCAGUCUGAUGAUGGUGGCUGGCAGGGAAGGGCUCCCUGGGAAAAGAUCUUUGCUCUGAAGAUGAGUAGGAGCUAAUCGACCAUCAUAAUUGGGGUAGUAAAUGGGCUAGGAGGAAGAGCUUUGUAAUUGGACAUGCAAAGGCCCUGUGGUAGGAGGCAGGGAAACAAGUUUGAGGAACUGAAAGAAAGCCAUGUGGCUGAGACUAGAACACAAGGUGAAGUUUGGUGACAGGUAAAGCCAAAAUGGGCUAGAACAAAGCCUGCCUGAUUAUUUUGUAAAUGCAGUAAGAAGGCAGUGAUGAAUUUAAGCAAAGGUGGAAGUCAAGGUGAGGAUGGUGUGUGUAUGUGUGUGUGUGUUUUCAUAGGCAGGUACCCUGAUUGGGUUUACAUUACGUAAAUUGUAAUAAAAUAUGAAAAGAAGGCCUAGAUUUUAAAAAGUCAUGAUCUUGCUUACCAUGCACCUGUUGCCCAUGUAAGCAAAUAGUUCAUGAUUCUUUUGGAAUUAGUUCUUUUCAACAAUGCAGUUAUUUUUCAGAGUUUAGCCAAGAAAUACUAAUAAAGUCAUUUUCCUACUGGGCGGAGAGUCCCAGUCCAAUUUAGUGUCCACAACUAACCGUUGCAAUAUAAUUUAAUCCUUAACAACUCGACCAAAGCCAAGACAACAGUAAAUGUGUUUUUACUCAUAAUUAAGGCUGCUCAAAAGUAAAAGUUAAACAAAGGCAGCGGAACGAUGUACAAAUAAUGACUUGGUAGAAAUGGGUCCAGUAUGUGCUGAUGAAAGUAGAUGUGGGAGUUCCCGUCAUGGCACAAUGGUUAAUGAAUCCGACUAGGAACCAUGAGGUUGCAGGUUCGAUCCCUGCCCUUGCUCAGUGGGUUAACGAUCUGGCGUUGCCGUGAGCUGUGGUGUAGGUUGCAGACGCGGCUCGGAUCCCGCGUUGCUGUGGCUCUGGCGUAGGCCAGCGGCUACAGCUCCGAUUGGACCCCUAGCCUGGGAACCUCCAUAUGCCGCUGCAGCGGCCCAAGAAGUGGCAAAAAGACCAAAAAAAAAAAAAAAAAAAAAAAAAAAAAA